UGUUUGGGGGGGCUUUUUUGCUCCCCCGUUUAUAAGCAGAAGACCGAUAUGUGUUUGGUAACCAAAUUUGGGAGCAUCUUUUUCCAGAAGCUGUUGUGGCUUCCGUCGAAAAGCAAAAGCCGCCUCAACCCAGCUUUUAGAAGCCAGAAGUCCGGUCUUCACUGUAGCGCUGGUGACUGUAGAUUAAUGAAAGUUCUAAAAUACCGAUCUUUACCCUUCUUGGUGGAAGCAAUUACUCGAUAUCCCUACGCCUCAUCCAAUCUCUCUCCCUCAUCACAAACGCAGUGAAGAUCUCUCUCCCUCAUCACAGACGCUGCAUCGAUCUCUCUCCCUUUGACGCCGCCUCACGUAUCCUCUCAUUCACGUAUCCUCUCAUCAAGAUCUCGGGUUGGAAAUCGAAGCCCCCCAAAGUAAGGCUGCUUGGGAAUUUCAUUCAGUCCUUACUUUCUAGAGCUGAUGCUAAAGUGAAGGAGUUGUGACAUUCAAUUGACGUUCUAAAGCCUAAAGUGAAUGUGCAUGUCUUCAUAAUUAUAUACGGAGACGUGCAGAUCGUGAUAGACAUUUUGUCCGCAGUGAAUAAAGAGAAGGUGAUGGGUCAAAUGGUGGGAUAGAGAUGGAUGAUGACGUAGAAGAAGAAUAUCAUGGUCAUGGUGCACAAAAAAUGGAAACAAUAAAAAAUAACAUUACUCAAAGUUUGAUGAGUGCGCGUAAUAACGUGAACAUUUGAAUAUGUUAUGAUAUUUUUUGUGGUUACUUGAUACGAACAAUAAACCAAUUGUUAUUAAUGUUACUAAUAUAUUUGUAUAAGUUA
Long non-coding RNA from Rosa chinensis, 811 nucleotides. RefSeq lists it as uncharacterized. Lineage: Eukaryota; Viridiplantae; Streptophyta; Magnoliopsida; Rosales; Rosaceae. The record is from RefSeq and is a predicted model, not a curated record. The transcript has 2 exons.